Small nuclear RNA from Leptonychotes weddellii (Weddell seal), 107 nucleotides. The record is from RefSeq and is a predicted model, not a curated record. Lineage: Eukaryota; Metazoa; Chordata; Mammalia; Carnivora; Phocidae.
GUGCUUCCUUCAACAGUACAUAUAUUAAAACUGGAACAAUACAGAGAAGAUCAGCAUGGCCCCUACGAAAAGAUAAUAUGCAAAUCUGUAAAGUGUUUCACAUUUUA